UACAUGUCACACUCCAUUUUCCAAAAAAAAAAUCAAACUGCCCAAUUAAAACACACAGUUCGAAGAAUUUCACCAAAAUUGUUGGUUUUGAGCAACUGUCACAUUGUGAUAUUUGUGCAAACACACAGCCAUACGUUUGUAUCUCGUCGAUACUGAAGCAUUUUCCACUACCUAAGUGCACACAAGUAUCUAUGUAUAUAUGUAGCCAUGUGUUUCCUCAAUUGACGAAAACGACAGACGACAAACUACAUCAUGGAAAUGAUAAUGCCCACGGGAAGAAGCAGAGCAGCAAAAACCAAGUGUCGGAAAAAAGAGCUGAUCCACCCAAGACUUUCCACUUACCCGAUAAAUGGGUUGGUUUUCAGAAGUUUUGUAAUUUAAAAACUCCUUAUCAAGACUAAUUCGGAGUCUUUUUAAUCGAUGCAAGUUUAUUGGAAUAGCCGAGUCUUAUAGAACAUGUAAAGAUACGAUCGAUUACUGCCCCAAACUAUAGCCCAGAGUCUCACAUUUCCCCGCCAACAAUGUUUGCCUGUUACAAAUGACCAAAAACCGAAAAGUGAUGAACAAACCGAAAGUGAUAUGCAAAUAUUGACACUGGCAUCAAAUCGGCGAUCGGCAUCUUCAGGCUCUGUAUACCUGGUAAAUAGCUAUGGUAAUAA
Molecule: long non-coding RNA, 659 nt
Organism: Drosophila ficusphila
Lineage: Eukaryota; Metazoa; Arthropoda; Insecta; Diptera; Drosophilidae
Exons: 3
Source: RefSeq, a predicted model, not a curated record